This is a non-coding RNA of Oncorhynchus gorbuscha (pink salmon), 898 nucleotides long. NCBI's taxonomy places the organism in Eukaryota, Metazoa, Chordata, Actinopteri, Salmoniformes, Salmonidae. The record is from the annotation of a RefSeq genome assembly.
CGCACAUACAUUUAUCAAUAUAACGCAUUGUCAUCUCUACUGCCUCUGAUAUGGCGGACUCACGAAACACAUAUACCGGGUUUGUGUAAAUGAUGUCUUGAGUGUUGGAGUGUGAGAGUGUGCCGUCUAGUUUGCAUAAUAGAAGGAAUUUGAUGUAUAGCAUUCACUUGACAUUUGAGUACUUUCCCCCCAACUGUACUUAAGUACAUUUCAAACCUGAUACUUUUAGACUUUUACUCAAGUAUUAUUUUACUAGGUGACUUUCACGUUUACUUGAGAAAUUUCUAUACUUUUACUCAAGUAUGACAUUGAGGACUUUUUCCACCAUUGCAAAUUUUGUGGCCCUGUAUGUUGACAUGUUCGUACAACUGUUUAUUCAAAUGCUACUGAUGAAUGCAUGGCUGUAAUAUUUUUCACCCAAACACCUUCAGACUCAGAGUCCAACAGCAUGUCUGUGCUCCAGCAGCCUGUGUCUGAGUCAGUCCAACCAGGAGACUCUGUGACUCUGAACUGUACAAUACACACUGAGACCUGUGCAGGAGGACACAGUGUCUAUUGGUUCAGACAUGGCUCAGGAGAAUCCCUUCCAGGAAUCAUUUACACCCAUGGAAACAGGAGUGAUCAGUGUGUGAAGAGCACUGAGGCUGGGUCUCCUACACAGAGAUGUGUCUACAACCUCCCCAAGAGAAACCUCAGCCCCUCUGAUGCUGGGACUUACUACUGUGCUGUGGCUUCAUGUGUGGAGAUACUUUUUGGAGACGGGACCAAGCUGGACCUUCAAGUUCCUGAGCAUCAUCCUCCAUUUCAUCUGACUCCUACUGUUCUGUCAUUGGUCGUCUCCAACAUCGUUCUGGGGAUAGUGACCCUUCUUCUUGUCUGGGCGCUGUGCAAGAGCUGA